RNAcentral lists this ribosomal RNA (38 nucleotides) under Senecio macranthus. RNAcentral's name for it is "partial 25S ribosomal RNA". The record is from RNAcentral. Lineage: Eukaryota; Viridiplantae; Streptophyta; Magnoliopsida; Asterales; Asteraceae. RNAcentral also lists the same sequence under 1 other name.
GCGACCCCAGGUCAGGUGGGAUUACCCGCUGAGUUUAA